This 253-nucleotide ribosomal RNA is filed under the name uncultured bacterium. RNAcentral's name for it is "partial 16S ribosomal RNA". It matches the Rfam family "Bacterial small subunit ribosomal RNA", at positions 524 to 776 of the family's 1533-position model. The record is from RNAcentral.
UACAGAGGGUGCAAGCGUUAAUCGGAGUUACUGGGCGUAAAGGGCGCGUAGGCGGGUAUAUAAGUGAGAUGUGAAAUCCCUGGGCUUAACCUAGGAAUUGCAUUUUAGACUGUGUAUCUGGAGUACAGUAGAGGGUGGUGGAAUUUCCGGUGUAGCGGUGAAAUGCGUAGAGAUCGGAAGGAACAUCAGUGGCGAAGGCGACCACCUGGACUGUGACUGACGCUGAGGCGCGAGAGCGUGGGUAGCAAACAGG